UGGGGGAUAUUGCACAAUGGGCGAAAGCCUGAUGCAGCGACGCCGCGUGGGGGAUGAAGGCUUUCGGGUUGUAAACCUCUUUCGCUAUCGAACAAGGCCCGCUUAGGGUGGGUUGAGGGUAGGUGGAGAAGAAGCGCCGGCUAACUACGUGCCAGCAGCCGCGGUAAUACGUAGGGCGCGAGCGUUGUCCGGAAUUAAUGGGUGUAAAGGGCUUGUAGGCGGCUUGUUGCGCCUGCUGUGAAAACGCGGGGCUUAACUUCGCGCGUGCAGUGGGUACGGGCAGGCUUGAGUGUGGUAGGGGUGACUGGAAUUCCAGGUGUAGCGGUGGAAUGCGCAGAUAUCUGGAGGAACACCGAUGGCGAAGGCAGGUCACUGGGCCAUUACUGACGCUGAGGAGCGAAAGCAUGGGUAGCGAACAGG
This 420-nucleotide ribosomal RNA is filed under the name bacterium. Its description in RNAcentral is "partial 16S ribosomal RNA". It matches the Rfam family "Bacterial small subunit ribosomal RNA", at positions 355 to 776 of the family's 1533-position model. The record is from RNAcentral.